GGAUUAGUGGCGAACGGGUGAGUAAUACGUGAGUAACCUGCCCUCCUUUUUGGGAUAAGCCUUGGAAACGGGGUCUAAUACCGGAUAUUCUGGCAUGCUCGCAUGGGUGUGUUGGGAAAGCUUUAUGUGAAGGGGGAUGGGCUCGCGGCCUAUCAGCUUGUUGGUGGGGUGAUGGCCUACCAAGGCGGUGACGGGUAGCCGGCCUGAGAGGGUGACCGGCCACAUUGGGACUGAGAUACGGCCCAGACUCC
Molecule: ribosomal RNA, 251 nt
Filed under: uncultured Actinobaculum sp.
Lineage: Bacteria; Bacillati; Actinomycetota; Actinomycetes; Actinomycetales; Actinomycetaceae
Description: partial 16S ribosomal RNA
Rfam family: Bacterial small subunit ribosomal RNA
Source: RNAcentral